AGCUUGUCUGUGAUGUUCUUAAAAAAAUAAAAUGUCUGAACAUCUGAGUUCAUAAGUGAUUUCAUCUUGUAACUGAGACAAGCU
Molecule: small nucleolar RNA, 84 nt
Organism: Rhineura floridana
Lineage: Eukaryota; Metazoa; Chordata; Lepidosauria; Squamata; Rhineuridae
Product: small nucleolar RNA SNORD72
Exons: 1
Source: RefSeq, a predicted model, not a curated record